GAUGAACGCUGGCUGUGUGCCUAAUACAUGCAUGUCGAGCGGAAGUAGCAAUACUUUAGCGGCGAAUGGGUGAGUAACACGUGCUUAAUCUACCUCUUAGAUUGGAAUACCUAAUGGAAACAUUGGUUAAUGCCGGAUACGCAUGGAGUCGCAUGACUCCGUUGUGAAAGGGGCCUUUAAAGCUCCACUAAGAGAUGAGGGUGCGGAACAUUAGCUAGUUGGUGAGGUAACGGCCCACCAAGGCUAUGAUGUUUAGCCGGGUCGAGAGACUGAACGGCCACAUUGGGACUGAGAUACGGCCCAAACUCCUACGGGAGGCAGCAGUAGGGAAUAUUCCACAAUGAGCGAAAGCUUGAUGGAGCGACACAGCGUGCACGAUGAAGGUCUUAUGGAUUGUAGAGUGCUGUUGCAAGGGAAGAAAAAGUAGUUGAGGAAAUGCUUCUACAUUGACGGUACCUUGUUAGAAAGCGAUGGCUAACUAUGUGCCAGCAGCCGCGGUAAUACAUAGGUCGCAAGCGUUAUCCGGAAUUAUUGGGCGUAAAGCGUUCGUAGGCUGUUUAUUAAGUCUGGAGUCAAAUCCCAGGGCUCAACCCUGGCUCGCUUUGGAUACUGGUAAACUAGAGUUGGAUAGAGGUAAGCGGAAUUCCAUGUGAAGCGGUGAAAUGCGUAGAUAUAUGGAAGAACACCAAAGGCGAAGGCAGCUUACUGGGUUUAUACUGACGCUGAGGAACGAAAGCGUGGGGAGCAAACAGG
This 753-nucleotide ribosomal RNA is filed under the name uncultured Mycoplasma sp. RNAcentral describes it as "bacterial SSU rRNA". It matches the Rfam family "Bacterial small subunit ribosomal RNA", at positions 28 to 776 of the family's 1533-position model. The record is from RNAcentral. Lineage: Bacteria; Bacillati; Mycoplasmatota; Mollicutes; Mycoplasmatales; Mycoplasmataceae.